UUUUUGUUUGUAUGUCUUCAGGGAAAAAUUUGUACCGAUCUUGUCUCAUUCAUUAUGCUGCUACAACAGUAAUAGCAUCAAAUGUAGCAAUUGUUUGCUAUAAUUCUGUUAACUACCACUUUGAAGAGGUUUUACUGCAAAAUGACAAACUGGAUUGUUCAAAUCAAACAGCUGCAUUAUUGGUCUAUUAUUCUACAAAAUUGUACCUUGAACCGACUGAAAUUGAAAAUGCUCUUCAAUGCAUACUUGUACUCAAAGAAAUUUUCUCCGAAAGCCAUGGUAUCAAAAACUAUGAUAUUACAACAUCCACUCAUAACAUGCAUAACACACGCUAUAACAUAUUGUGUGUCUUUUUAUCUUCUGUGGUUUUAAUUUUUCCUUAUUUUUUGUUCAAAAUAUUGCUUUUUGAAAAUAGAAAGAUCGGUAACAAUCUCUAUCUUUUUCAGGCAUGCGCAUUUGCAAUCGUCAAAUUAGCAAUGUAUAUAGUUUUAAUUAAAUGUUUUCACCUUCUUGCAGUGAAAGGUACUUACUACUCAAAAAUACUAAAACACCUCUUAAAUAAAGUCAUUACUAGGUUUUAUUUAGUGCUUUCGGAGCUGAAAUAUACUGUGUACUAAAUUUUGCUGCAUCAGUAAGCGUAGCGGGAAAAGUAAGUUUGCAGUAAAUAAUGUUUUACAGUUCAUAACAACCUAUGUACAAACUGUUUUAAUCCUGCAGAUAAAAGAUUAUGAAAUAAUAGAUGAUCGUCAAAAUGCAAUGUCAAUAUCAGGAACAUUUUUAUUCCUGUCCUUUGUUAAUUUUGGACUCUGGUUAUACGACACUUUCCUUGCUGCUGAGCACUUUUAUAAGCUUUUUUAUACAGCCCAAUUUUAUGGAUACACAACAACAAUGAUACUAAUACAUUUAUUUUUGCAAAUUUUGAUAUUCUAUCGAUCUCUAUCGUUUCAAAUGUUUCAUUACAUUUUUUGAACUAUCUGCUUUUACAUCGCCAUUCGUAGAACGGGUUCUUUCAUUUGUUGACAAAGUUAGUACGAUAAUAUGCAUCCGAAGACGUCAAAAUUAUUAGCAAAUAUAACAACUGCUAUAUUGUCAUAUAGCUUGUCAAAUUGUUUUUGGUUCUUUUACAUUUCUGACUUUCAAACAUUUAAUUUCGAGAUUUCUUGGUGAAAGUAAUAAAAAAAAACAUUGCUCCGGAAAUAUGAAUGUAUAAAGUUUUACCGAUAAUAAAUUCAUUGAGAUGGUCGUAAUUAUAUUUUAAAUAUUUUGAUACCUUGAAUAUAUGAAAUACUAAGGCUUUUAUACCCCAGGAAUAGAUUACUUGAGAUGUAUUUGGCAAAACUUUUAUGAAUUUUUGUAUGCUCUUUAAGUCCUUUCUUUUUUCGGCUUUCAACAUUUUUUUAUUCUAGCGUCACUGUUUACUCUUUUCUAGACAAAUCAAAAGUAUGGUAAAAAU
This 1453-nucleotide long non-coding RNA is filed under the name Mytilus galloprovincialis (Mediterranean mussel). The record is from RNAcentral. Lineage: Eukaryota; Metazoa; Mollusca; Bivalvia; Mytilida; Mytilidae.